Molecule: ribosomal RNA, 497 nt
Filed under: uncultured bacterium
Lineage: Bacteria
Description: partial 16S ribosomal RNA
Rfam family: Bacterial small subunit ribosomal RNA
Source: RNAcentral
GAUGAACGCUGGCGGCGUGCCUAAUACAUGCAAGUCGAGCGAACGGACGAGAAGCUUGCUUCUCUGAUGUUAGCGGCGGACGGGUGAGUAACACGUGGAUAACCUACCUAUAAGACUGGGAUAACUUCGGGAAACCGGAGCUAAUACCGGAUGAUAUUUUGAACCGCAUGGUUCAAAAGUGAAAGACGGUCUUGCUGUCACUUAUAGAUGGAUCCGCGCUGCAUUAGCUAGUUGGUAAGGUAACGGCUUACCAAGGCAACGAUGCAUAGCCGACCUGAGAGGGUGAACGGCCACACCGGAACUGAGACACGGUCCAGACUCCUAAGGGAGGCAGCCGUAGGGAAUCUUCCGCCAUGGGUGAAAGCCUGACGGAGCAACGCCGCGUGAGUGAUGAAGGUCUUCGGAUCGUAAAACUCUGUUAUUAGGGAAGAACAUAUGUGUAAGUAACUGUGCACAUCUUGACGGUACCUAAUCAGAAAGGCACGGCUAACUACGUG